GCCAGGUGCGGUGGUGAGUGCCUGUAGUCCCAGCUACUCGGGUGGCUGAGGUGGGAGGAUCACUUGAGCCCAGGAGUUCUGGGCUGUAGUGUGCUAUGCUGAUCGGGUGUCCGCACUAAGUUCGGCAUCAAUAUGGUGACCUCCCGGGAGCAGGGGACCACCAGGUUGCCUAAGGAGGGGUGAACUGGCCCAGGUCAGAAAUGGAGCAGGUCAAAACUCCUGUGCUGAUCAGUAGUGGGAUCGCACUUGUGAAUAGCCACUGCACUCCAGCCUGGGCAACAUAGCGAGACCCCGUCUAU
Molecule: unclassified non-coding RNA, 299 nt
Organism: Callithrix jacchus (white-tufted-ear marmoset)
Lineage: Eukaryota; Metazoa; Chordata; Mammalia; Primates; Cebidae
Rfam family: Metazoan signal recognition particle RNA
About the family: The signal recognition particle (SRP) is a universally conserved ribonucleoprotein. It is involved in the co-translational targeting of proteins to membranes. The eukaryotic SRP consists of a 300-nucleotide 7S RNA and six proteins: SRPs 72, 68, 54, 19, 14, and 9.
Source: Ensembl